Cucurbita pepo subsp. pepo (vegetable marrow) is the source of this 594-nucleotide long non-coding RNA. RefSeq lists it as uncharacterized. The record is from RefSeq and is a predicted model, not a curated record. NCBI's taxonomy places the organism in Eukaryota, Viridiplantae, Streptophyta, Magnoliopsida, Cucurbitales, Cucurbitaceae.
GAGGCUCCUAUCCAAGCUCCUCUAUAAUAACCUACUCUUAGAGCUAUGGCUAUGGCUAUGGCUAUCACCUAGCAAACAAAAAGGGGCAUUAGAUAUCAUGGGAGUAUAUGCAUGCCUCCUUAUUUCCCUCUUAUUAAUCUUUCAAACUCAUUCCAUUUCUUCCCUUUCCAAUGGAUCUCUUUCCAUUUCCAACCACUCAUUCAACUCUCAACCCCUUCAACACCAUCAUCAACUUUUGGUGAACGGAUGGGACGACGGAGAAGAGAAUACGACCGCAGUGAAUUCGGUUGUUUUAAAGGCUAAAGGGGGAAGGUCAGGCAGCGCCGGGGCGGGCACCAACAACCACCGGCCGGGGAAGGCGAAGAACGCAGCUGCGAGUUUGUUUGAGUUUAAUAUAAUUUACUUUGUUCUCAACUCUGUUGGUCUCUUCCUAUUCUUCUAUAUCAGUUCUUAAGAAGGAAUCAUAUGAAAGGAUAAGUAUCUUUUUGGUUUUGUUUGAGGAAAGUUUAGUUAUGAAUCACUUAUAACAUGUAUACAUAUGGAUCAUGGCAUGAUAUGUUAUGGAUUGAUGAAUAAAUUGGAUUUUUAAUGUUA